Schistosoma curassoni is the source of this 48-nucleotide non-coding RNA. NCBI's taxonomy places the organism in Eukaryota, Metazoa, Platyhelminthes, Trematoda, Strigeidida, Schistosomatidae. The record is from Rfam.
AUUCAGUUGACGAGUCCUAAAUAAGACGAAAUGCGCGUCAAACUAGAU